Molecule: non-coding RNA, 77 nt
Filed under: bovine gut metagenome
Description: Fluoride riboswitch
Rfam family: Fluoride riboswitch aptamer (crcB RNA motif)
Source: RNAcentral
ACAAAAGGGAAUGAUGUUCUCCCUUGAGCAGGCUGCUGCCGCUCAGAACCGCUUUCAAAGCUGAUGACUUCUGCCAA